This 516-nucleotide ribosomal RNA is filed under the name uncultured Staphylococcus sp. RNAcentral's name for it is "partial 16S ribosomal RNA". The record is from RNAcentral. Lineage: Bacteria; Bacillati; Bacillota; Bacilli; Caryophanales; Staphylococcaceae.
ACGUAGUUAGCCGUGGCUUUCUGAUUAGGUACCGUCAAGACGUGCACAGUUACUUACACAUUUGUUCUUCCCUAAUAACAGAGUUUUACGAUCCGAAGACCUUCAUCACUCACGCGGCGUUGCUCCGUCAGGCUUUCGCCCAUUGCGGAAGAUUCCCUACUGCUGCCUCCCGUAGGAGUCUGGACCGUGUCUCAGUUCCAGUGUGGCCGAUCACCCUCUCAGGUCGGCUACGUAUCGUUGCCUUGGUAAGCCAUUACCCCACCAACUAGCUAAUACGGCGCGGGUCCAUCUAUAAGUGAUAGUAAAACCAUCUUUCACUUUAGAACCAUGCGGUUCUAAAUAUUAUCCGGCAUUAGCCCCGGUUUCCCGGAGUUAUUCCAGUCUUAUAGGUAGGUUACCCACGUGUUACUCACCCGUCCGCCGCUAACGUCAAAGGAGCAAGCUCCUUAUCUGUUCGCUCGACUUGCAUGUAUUAGGCACGCCGCCAGCGUUCAUCCUGAGCCAGGAUCAAACUCU